GAUUCUUCUUAUAUGGUGGAUAAUGGCCAAAAGGUCGAGUAUUGUAGCGUGUUGGUUUCUUCAUUUGUGGUACCUUAGCUAGAGGUGUCUCGUAGACAGGUGGUUUCACAUGAGGAGGUGGGUGAAAGGGUGGAUGAUGGUAAAUUGGUGGGGGUGGAUGAUAUGCUUGUGGUGGAGGUGUUUUCACAUAAGGCGAUUUAUACACUGGUGGUAGUUUUUCAUGAGGAGGUUGAUACUUUGGCAUUGGCUUUUCAUGACGCGGUGGGUUAUAAUUUGGUGGUAAUUUCUUAUGAGGUGGCGCAAACUCUGGUGGUGGAUUUUCAUGUGGUGAUUUUUCGUGAGGAGGUUGAUACUUUGUUGAUGGAGGUGGUGGUUGGUACUCUGGCAACGAGAUUUCUUGUGGUGGUUUUUCAUGAGGUGGGUGAUGCGUAGGUGGUGUAUUUUCAUGAGGUGGUUUCUCAUGUGGAGGUUUGUACUCUGGAGGUGGAUUUUCUUGUGGUGGUUGGUACUCUGGAGGGGGAUGUUCAUGUGGUGGUUUUUCAUGAGGUGGUUUGUAUUCUGGUGGUGGAUGCACAUGUGGUGGUUGGUUCUCUGGAGGCGGAUGUUCAUAAUGAGGUGGUUUUUCAUGAGGUGGUUGAUACUCUGGUGGUGGAUUUUCAUGAGGUGGGUUCUCAUGCGGAGGUUGGUGCUCUGGUGGUGGAUGCACAUGAGGUGGUUGAUAUUCUGGUGGUGGAUGUUCAUGUGGUGGCUUUUCAUGAGGUGGUUGGUACUCUGAUGGUGGCUUCAUUUGUGGUGGUUUCUCAUGAGGUGGUUGGUACUCUUGUGGUGGUGGUUCAUAUGGUGAUUUUUCAUGAGGUGGUUUUAGAUAAGGAGGUUGGUACUCAGGUGGUGGAUGCACAUGUGGCGGUUUUUCGUGAGGUGGUUGGUACUCCGGCGGUGGAUGUUCAUGAGGUGGUUGAUACUCUGGUGGUGGAUGCACAUGUGGUGGUUUCUCAUGAGGUGGUUGAUACUCAGGUGGUGGAUGCUCAUGUGGUGGUUUCUCGUGAGGUGGUUGGUACUCUGGAGGUGGAUGUUCAUGCGGUGGUUUUUCAUGAGGUGGUUGAUACUCUGGUGGUGAACUUUCAUGUGGUGGUUUUUCGUGAGGUGGUUGGUAUUCUGGCGGCGGCUUCUCAUAAGGUGGUGUAUACUCAGGUGGUGGCUUUUCAUGAGGUGGCUGGUACUCAGGCGGUGGUUUUUCAUGAUGAGGUGGUUGAUACUCUGGUGGUGGUUUCUCAUAAGGUGGUUUGUAUUCUGGCGGUGGGUUCUCAUAUGGUGGUUUUCCAUGAUGAGGUGGCUCAUAUUCUGGUGAUGGAUUCUCACGAGGUGGUUGAUAUUCUCGUGGUGGCUCUUCAUGUGGUGGUUUCUCAUAUGGUGGCUCGUACACCGGAGGUGGCUUCUCAUGUGGAGGAUGGUAUAUUGGUGGUGUGUGGGCCGGAGGUUUAUAAUUUGGUGGUGGAUGAAUUAUUGGAGGCUUAUAAACUGGUGGUGGUUCCUCGGUUGGUGGAGGCUCAUAGAUGGGUGGUUUCUCGAUGGGAGGUUCAUAAGUGGGUGGUUUGUAAUAUUCAGCUAACACUGGAGUAGUGAGCAUCACUACUCCAAGCAGGAGUAUUGCUAGUGAGUGCAUAGAGGCCAUGCCUCGGGUUGUGAUGAACAAAAAUGGAAUGGAGGAACAAGUAUUUAUAAGUAAAAACACGUAAAAUUUUAGUGUGAAGUCAUCUUCAAUUCUUUGGCAUUUCAUUAUGCAUACAAAGUAUUAAUUAUUAAAGUAUCCAAAUGAGGUCAAAAGAAGGUAGCAUCUUUUAAUUUGAUAACAACAAUCUAUGCAUUGGCUAGGAUUAUAUUUUUGUAUAAUAUAGCUAGGAAUUUU
Molecule: long non-coding RNA, 1906 nt
Filed under: Medicago truncatula (barrel medic)
Lineage: Eukaryota; Viridiplantae; Streptophyta; Magnoliopsida; Fabales; Fabaceae
Description: long non-coding RNA (MTRU_LNC005223)
Source: RNAcentral